This 89-nucleotide transfer RNA is filed under the name Coriobacteriia bacterium. Its description in RNAcentral is "tRNA-Leu". It matches the Rfam family "tRNA". Rfam says of the family: Transfer RNA (tRNA) molecules are approximately 80 nucleotides in length. Their secondary structure includes four short double-helical elements and three loops (D, anti-codon, and T loops). Lineage: Bacteria; Bacillati; Actinomycetota; Coriobacteriia. RNAcentral also lists the same sequence under 1 other name. The record is from RNAcentral.
GCGGGCGUGGCGGAAUUGGCAGACGCGUAUGGUUCAGGUCCAUAUGGUGCUUUUGCACUGUGAAAGUUCAAAUCUUUUCGCCCGCACCA